GAAGUAUAUAAAAAUCGAACUUCUAAUUCAAUUUAAUAGUGGUGUAACUCCAUUAAUACUUCU
This 63-nucleotide transfer RNA is filed under the name Macrodorcas seguyi. Its description in RNAcentral is "tRNA-Ser". The record is from RNAcentral. Lineage: Eukaryota; Metazoa; Arthropoda; Insecta; Coleoptera; Lucanidae.